AGUCAACAUUGUUGCUAAGUGCAGGAUCAGAGGAUAGAAUCAACAUGAUAUAGGUUAGGGAGCACAGAUUUGCCAGAAGUUUUUAUGCCUAGAAAAGAGGGUCUUAUCUAAGUGGGUAUAUAAGAAUCCUUAGGUUUAAUAUUGUAAGUGAGCUCUCCUGGUAAUAUCCUAGGGGGACAGAGUGGGACAUCUGUAUUAACCCUACAAGCAUGUUGCUCUCAUCUAUUUUUCCUGGGGCUAAGAUGUCCUUUACUUCUGUGUGGGGAAAGAGAAAGAUGUUUUCUCAAAUGGAUAAAUAUCUGUCAGUCCAAAAAAGUACUACCUGGGCACAAGGCUGGAUGACAUUUUCAACUUCUAGUAGAAGCAACAAAGGAAGAAAAAAGAAGAAAGAUUUCUGAUUGCUACUUUGCUCACCAGAAAUGCAGCCUUUAACCUAUUUCUGCUCACAAAGAAUUGGAUGGUAGGUUCCUACUGUCUUUUGUAAAGGAGGAUUCCUAGA
RNAcentral lists this long non-coding RNA (499 nucleotides) under Monodelphis domestica (gray short-tailed opossum). Its description in RNAcentral is "lncRNA (ENSMODG00000042697.1)". The record is from RNAcentral. Lineage: Eukaryota; Metazoa; Chordata; Mammalia; Didelphimorphia; Didelphidae.